GGUAUUGAAAUAAGAUUUUAAAUGAGUGCUAAGAGAAUGAUUAAACAAUUAAAAACUUUCUUUAAUUAAAUAAUUAAAUUUAAUUUUUUUUGUGCAAAAGCAAAAAUAAAAUUUAGGGACAAGAAGACCCUAUGAAUUUUUAUUAUUAAUAUUUUGCAAUUAAAUUAUUAAUAAUUUAAUUGGGGCGAUAAAAAAAGAAUAAAUAUCUUUUUAAUUAUAAAAUAAGUUCCGUUUUUAGCGAUUGAAUGAAAAAAAUACUCUAGGGAUAACAGCGUAAUAAUUUUGGAUAGUUCAUAUAGAUAAAAUAGUUUGCGACCUCGAUGUUGGAUUAGGAUUCUUUUUUGGUGUAGAA
This 352-nucleotide ribosomal RNA is filed under the name Ixodes scapularis (black-legged tick). Its description in RNAcentral is "partial 16S ribosomal RNA". Lineage: Eukaryota; Metazoa; Arthropoda; Arachnida; Ixodida; Ixodidae. The record is from RNAcentral.